CCUACGGGAGGCAGCAGUGAGGAAUAUUGGUCAAUGGACGGAAGUCUGAACCAGCCAUGCCGCGUGCAGGAAGACGGCGCUAUGAGUUGUAAACUGCUUUUGUACAAGGGUAAACCGGAAUACGUGUAUGCAGCUGAAAGUACUGUACGAAUAAGGAUCGGCUAACUCCGUGCCAGCAGCCGCGGUAAUACGGAGGAUCCAAGCGUUAUCCGGAUUUAUUGGGUUUAAAGGGGGCGUAGGCGGAUUGAUAAGUUAGAGGUGAAAUGUCCGCGCUUAACGCGGGAACUGCCUCUAAUACUGUUGUUCUAGAGCGUAGCUGCGGUAGGCGGAAUGUAUGGUGUAGCGG
This 346-nucleotide ribosomal RNA is filed under the name uncultured bacterium. RNAcentral describes it as "partial 16S ribosomal RNA". It matches the Rfam family "Bacterial small subunit ribosomal RNA", at positions 338 to 681 of the family's 1533-position model. The record is from RNAcentral.